UUCCCAAUCCAAGCUAUAUCAUCCAGUCUUUUGAGAUCCUUAUCUCUCUCCAAACCACCAUCAAGAUGUCUCCCUGCUCUUGCAACUGCUGCUCCGGCAACUGCGCCUCUUGCUCUUGCUCCAGCUGCUCUGUAUGUCUCUUCACU
This 146-nucleotide small RNA is filed under the name Paecilomyces variotii No. 5. RNAcentral's name for it is "Byssochlamys spectabilis No. 5 A. fumigatus sRNA Afu_254". It matches the Rfam family "A. fumigatus sRNA Afu_254". The record is from Rfam by way of RNAcentral. Lineage: Eukaryota; Fungi; Ascomycota; Eurotiomycetes; Eurotiales; Thermoascaceae.